Ictalurus punctatus (channel catfish) is the source of this 494-nucleotide long non-coding RNA. Lineage: Eukaryota; Metazoa; Chordata; Actinopteri; Siluriformes; Ictaluridae. The record is from Ensembl.
UGUAAAGCUCGAGCGGACACAGUGUGUGUGUGUGUGUGUGUGUGUGUGUGUGUGUGUGUGUGUAACAAGGACCAGCUCGUCGCUCGGUUUAACAAAAACACACCGGAGUGAGAGCUGUAAGAUUUAUUUGUAUUUUAUUUAUUUAUUUAAAAAAAGAAGAAAUCAGCUCAUACAUUGUGACGAUACAGCAGCCUGACUGAAGACCAAACAUGCGCGCGCGUGCCAACAUCAUCAACAUGACACCGAGAGUUACCUGAGAGGAAAAGGGCGGGAAGCGCGCGCUGGAUUGAAGGAAGGAAAAAGAAAGAAAGAAAAAAAAAACAAAACACCACCAACCGCCAAACCGUCGCGCUCUUUUCGCGCGCGCACAACAGCGAACUUAAACCAUGGGGUGAAGAGAAGAAAUGGAGCACUCUGAACGGAUGUUCGUCUGAGAAGAUGUGAAACCUGCUAUUGACUAUGUGCAUCUACGUCUACGUUGAAGAAAAUUUGCC